This 769-nucleotide ribosomal RNA is filed under the name Papiliotrema laurentii. RNAcentral describes it as "partial large subunit ribosomal RNA". It matches the Rfam family "Eukaryotic large subunit ribosomal RNA", at positions 107 to 870 of the family's 3401-position model. Lineage: Eukaryota; Fungi; Basidiomycota; Tremellomycetes; Tremellales; Rhynchogastremaceae. The record is from RNAcentral.
GCUCAAAUUUGAAAUCUGGCGUCCUCAGGGCGUCCGAGUUGUAAUCUAUAGAGGCGUUUUCCGUGCCGGACCGUGUCCAAGUUCCUUGGAACAGGAUAUCAAAGAGGGUGACAAUCCCGUACUUGACACGACGACCGGUGCUCUGUGAUACGUCUUCUACGAGUCGAGUUGUUUGGGAAUGCAGCUCAAAAUGGGUGGUGAGUUCCAUCUAAAGCUAAAUAUUGGCGAGAGACCGAUAGCGAACAAGUACCGUGAGGGAAAGAUGAAAAGCACUUUGGAAAGAGAGUUAAACAGUACGUGAAAUUGUUGAAAGGGAAACGAUUGAAGUCAGUCGUGACCGAGAGGCUCAGCCGGUUCUGCCGGUGUAUUCCCCUCGGUCGGGUCAACAUCAGUUUUGUCCGGUGGAUAAGGACGGUAGGAAGGUGGCACCCUCGGGUGUGUUAUAGCCUGCCGUCGCAUACAUCGGGUGAGACUGAGGAACGCAGCUCGCCUUUAUGGCCGGGGUUCGCCCACGUCCGAGCUUAGGAUGUUGACAUAAUGGCUUUAAACGACCCGUCUUGAAACACGGACCAAGGAGUCUAACAUAUCUGCGAGUGUUUGGGUGUCAAACCCGAGCGCGUAAUGAAAGUGAACGUAGGAGGGAUCCGCAAGGAGCACCUUCGACCGAUCUGGAUCUUCUGUGAUGGAUUUGAGUAAGAGCAUAUAUGCUGGGACCCGAAAGAUGGUGAACUAUGCCUGAAUAGGGCGAAGCCAGGGGAAACUCUGGUGG